UGAAAUAAAACCACGACUCAC
This 21-nucleotide non-coding RNA is filed under the name Caenorhabditis elegans. Lineage: Eukaryota; Metazoa; Nematoda; Chromadorea; Rhabditida; Rhabditidae. The record is from RNAcentral.